RNAcentral lists this ribosomal RNA (242 nucleotides) under uncultured bacterium. RNAcentral's name for it is "partial 16S ribosomal RNA". It matches the Rfam family "Bacterial small subunit ribosomal RNA", at positions 15 to 245 of the family's 1533-position model. The record is from RNAcentral.
GAUCCUGGCUCAGGAUGAACGCUAGCGGCAGGCUUAACACAUGCAAGUCGAGGGGCAGCGAGAUCAAAGCUUGCUUUGAUUGUCGGCGACCGGCGCACGGGUGCGUAACGCGUAUGCAACCUACCCACUACAGGGGGAUAACACUGAGAAAUCGGUACUAAUACCCCAUAAUAUCUUGAAAGGCAUCUUUCGUAGGUUGUAAAACUACCGGUGGUAGUGGAUGGGCGAUGCGUUGUAUUAGU